RNAcentral lists this ribosomal RNA (516 nucleotides) under uncultured bacterium. RNAcentral describes it as "bacterial SSU rRNA". It matches the Rfam family "Bacterial small subunit ribosomal RNA", at positions 57 to 571 of the family's 1533-position model. The record is from RNAcentral.
GCAAGUCGAACGAGAGACUCUUCGGAGUAGUAAAGUGGCGAACGGGUGAGUAAUACAUGGGUAAUCUGCCUUUGAGCGGGGGAUAACCAGCCGAAAGGCUGGCUAAUACCCCAUACGCUUCCGGUCCCUCGGGUAAGGAAGGAAAGCUGCAUCGUGGAUGUGGCACUCGAAGAUGGGCUCAUGGCCUAUCAGCUUGUUGGUGGGGUAACGGCCUACCAAGGCUACGACGGGUAGCUGGUCUGAGAGGACGAUCAGCCACACUGGCACUGAGAUACGGGCCAGACUCCUACGGGAGGCAGCAGUGAGGAAUAUUGCGCAAUGGGCGAAAGCCUGACGCAGCGACGCCGCGUGGGGGAAGAAGGUUUUCGGAUUGUAAACCCCUUUUAGGAGGAAAGAUGGGGUGGGUUUCCACCCGGACGGUACCUCCAGAAAAAGCCACGGCUAACUUCGUGCCAGCAGCCGCGGUAAUACGAAGGUGGCGAGCGUGGUUCGGAUUUACUGGGCGUAAAGAGCACG